RNAcentral lists this ribosomal RNA (253 nucleotides) under uncultured bacterium. RNAcentral describes it as "partial 16S ribosomal RNA". It matches the Rfam family "Bacterial small subunit ribosomal RNA", at positions 524 to 776 of the family's 1533-position model. The record is from RNAcentral.
UACGGGGGGGGCAAGCGUUGUUCGGAAUUACUGGGCGUAAAGGGUUUGUAGGUGGCUCGCUAAGUCAGACGUGAAAUCCCUCAGCUUAACUGGGGAACUGCGUCUGAGACUGGCAAGCUUGAGUGCAGGAGAGGAACGCGGAAUUCCAGGUGUAGCGGUGAAAUGCGUAGAGAUCCGGAGGAACACCAGUGGCGAAGGCGGCUGCCUGGGCCUGGCCUGACGCUGAGGCGCGAAAGCGUGGGGAGCGAGCCGG